UAGGGAAUCUUCGGCAAUGGACGAAAGUCUGACCGAGCAACGCCGCGUGAGUGAAGAAGGUUUUCGGAUCGUAAAACUCUGUUGUUAGAGAAGAACAAGGACGUUAGUAACUGAACGUCCCCUGACGGUAUCUAACCAGAAAGCCACGGCUAACUACGUGCCAGCAGCCGCGGUAAUACGUAGGUGGCAAGCGUUGUCCGGACUUAUUGGGCGUAAAGCGAGCGCAGGCGGUUUCUUAAGUCUGAUGUGAAAGCCCCCGGCUCAACCGGGGAGGGUCAUUUGCAACUGGGAGACUUGAGUGCAGAAGAGGAGAGUGGAAUUCCAUGUGUAGCGGUGAAAUUCGUCGAUAUAUGGAGGAACACCAGUGGCGAAGGCGGCUCUCUGGUCUGUAACUGACGCUUAGGCUCGAAAGCGUGGGGAGCAAACAGG
This 429-nucleotide ribosomal RNA is filed under the name Gemmatimonadota bacterium. RNAcentral describes it as "Gemmatimonadetes bacterium partial 16S ribosomal RNA". It matches the Rfam family "Bacterial small subunit ribosomal RNA", at positions 355 to 776 of the family's 1533-position model. Lineage: Bacteria; Pseudomonadati; Gemmatimonadota. The record is from RNAcentral.